This is a non-coding RNA of Amborella trichopoda, 4402 nucleotides long. The record is from RefSeq and is a predicted model, not a curated record. NCBI's taxonomy places the organism in Eukaryota, Viridiplantae, Streptophyta, Magnoliopsida, Amborellales, Amborellaceae.
GAAUCUUUCUUUUCGCUAAAAAGUUGUUCCCGCCCUGCCCAGAGGCAUUAUGAUUCUUUGGGCAAUAAUAUUCUUCGUACGGCAGGCCACUGUGGUGAAGGGUCAUCCGAUUGUUGCAGAUGCUUUGAAGAUAGAGGGAGAGCUACAUACUGACUUUCAUACAGUAGAGAAAGAAAAAGAGAGAAAGAAGAUGAGAGACCUUACAAGAAGACCCCGUUAUCUCUCUGUCUCUCUCUCUCUCUCUCUCUUUUUGAGCAUUAGGAAAACCCUGUCAUAUCUGUGGCCCGUGCUCUCUCUCUCUCUCCAUACCGAUGCCCCUGCUCCCCUAUCUCUCUCCUCUGUAACCCCUCUUUCUUUUAUCUGUGAUUUCUCUCUCUUUUCAAACCCUAGCCCCCAUAUUUGUCACAAGCUAUUCUUUCUUACUCUCUUCAAGCCCUAAACCCCAUCAAUGCGCCCUCUCACUUCGAGCCUGGACUUCAUUUCCAGUUGGGAGCACGAGAGUUGAAAAGGUCUGUUGUAAUUAUUCCUUUUGCCAAAUGAUCUAAUGUUGGACAAAUGAUUUGUAGAACUGUUUUUAUUUCAAUAAUGAUAGACACCAGCUGAACGCCAUCAAGUUUUAUGGAUGGAUGGUGUUGGAGAGACAGUAAGGUCAUCCAAGACAUGAAAGGACCCAGAGUAGUAGGUCUCCCUCUCUCUCCAACCUUGUCCAUCCUUCAAAUCAAUGGUGUUAGGCUGGUCUCUACCCUAUAUAGGUACAUUUGGAUCUACUUGAUCAUUUCUCUUAGACUAAUAUAUGUUUCUUAUAUCGUGAAAUAGAACCCUAAUAUCAGGUUGUAGUAUUUAUAGUUCAAAUUGGAAAUAUUUAUGAUGGGACAAUUUACUUUUGAUACAAAAAGGUCUCAAUCAUUGCUAACCUUUGGAUGUGAAAUCGCAUGGGUGGUGAUGUGUCACUAGUUGAGCACAAAGUCCAAAACAAAUUUUCUCAAAAGUUGUGAUACAUUUUAAUAUGCUAGAUUUGAGUCUUGUGCUGUUCGAAUCUUCAUGACCAUGUGCUUGUAAGUUUUAUGUGUGUUGAACACCGGAACCUAGAAUCGUUGGCAUCUUGAGGGACAUGGGUAAACUUCUUGAGCAAUUCCAUGUUAUUACUUUUUGUUGUUUACAUCACAUUACCAAAAGUAUCUAUUGGAUUUGGAUCUGGUGUGUCUGUUAUAUUUUUUAUGGCACUAGUACAUAAUCUUCUUUUUAUUCAGAUUAAUGGAGUGGAUAGUCAGGACAUGUGAUGGCUCUUCAUGCUGCUCACAUGAAUUAUUAUCAUAGUGAUUCUGAAGGUCUGAUUAAGCUGAUUGGCUGUUUCUGUUGACCAGAAUACAACCUAACUCAUGGUUUCUGUUUUUCAAUGUACUCUGUUGUUUAUCACCAAUAGUUUAUAUUACAUCAUGCAUGUAAAAGAUCAUCUCAUAAAUUGCCAGGACUCUUUACUUUAUUUGUAAUUGAUAUACUUGAUAUUUAUUUGUUGAAUUCUUAAUGUGCAGCCUAUUGUUGGUGGAAGUGCUUGAGCCUUUACGGACUUUAUUUUGAAUUAGAUGUAUGGAGUCUCUUGUUAUGAAAUUGAUGUAAGAAUACGUGGUCUCUGAAAUUGAUGCAAGGAUAUGGGGUUUCUCUUAUUUGAGAAUGAUGUAAUUCUAUGGAUGUACAGGUCUCAACACUUCAUAUAAUGAGGGCCUCCCAUUUUUAUUUAAGUCAUAUCACCUUUUUUCUGACUAGGGAGUCCAUAAUGUAGUUAGAGAGAGACAUGGCAUUUUUUGAAGAGAAGUGGGAGCCGUUGUGAGAGUAGACAAACUAUUUGCUUUAGAGAGAGAGAGAAGGGGUGUUGUUUGUGGAACUAGAGAGAGAGAAGGGGUGCUGAUUUUGGAAGUGACCGAAUCUAGAUUCGGAUCCGGAUCCUAUAGAUACUUUUGGAUCUGGAUCCAAAUCCAAACAUUCUGGAUCCUAUAGGAUCCAAACCCAGAUCCAAAUCCGAUAUAUACUUUUUGGAUUCAGAUUCAGAUUUGGGUGGAUUCGGAUCCGGCCUUGAAAAUUCUCAACCCUAUAUUUAUUGGUAUUUUAUCAGUAAAUAUCAAGAAUUUGAUCAGAGAUUGACUAUCAAAAAAUGUUGUUGGUAAUUUUAUCAGUAAUUUUUAUUGAUACUGUCAAAAAAUAAUGAUAUUAUAUGUAACUAUGCUGAUCGGAAGACAUUAGUAAAUUUAUUGAUAUUUUCAUUUUACUACUGUUUAUCAGUAACUUUACUGAUAAAUCGGUUAAUAUGAGAUUAACGGAUGUUUAACUUAUGUAGGGGUGGGUGCGGUCAGUGUCUUUUAACUAUGUUGCUGUAAUCCAUAUUUAUAGUUACUUACAACGUAAAAUUGGCUUGUGUUUGUUUGAAUGUUCAAAUGUUGCUUUUUAUUGUGGUUUUAUUUCCUUAGAUAGGUUGGUUGUGUUGGUGAGGGAUAUGAAGGAAAGGUCUUUAUUUUUAUUUUUGCUUAACAACAUGACUUACUUUAUUACUAAACUUUGGUAUUUUUUUUCCUUGCUCUUGUUUUGUUUUAAUAUGCUUAUUAUUUUUCCCUUUCUUUAUUUACUUGCAAUUGGACCACAUUGCAAUUGGGAGCACAAUAGUUGAGAAGGUGUGUUGUAAUUAUUCUUUUUGCCAGAUGAUCUAAUGGACUGUUUCUAUAUUAAUAACGACAGAUACGAGCUGAACACCAGCAAGUUUGAUGGAUGGAUGGUGUUGGAGGACAAUGAGGUCUUCCAAGACAUGAGAGCACCCAAAAUAGUAGGUCUCCCUCCCUCAUCAACAUUUCCAUCCUUCAAACCAAUGGUGUUAGGCUGGUCUCUACUCUUUUUAGGUACAUUUGGAUCAACUUGAUCAUAUCUAUUAGAAUGAUAUAUGUUUCUUAUAUGGUUGAGGUUUGUAUAAGGUGUCAACCUUAAACAAUCACUGUAAGGUGCACCUCAAAAUCUCAUUAAAACAUUUAUUUUCAGUGCCAAAACUCUAAUCAUGCCUUAAAUUCUAUUUUUCACCCUAUAAUAAAAUUAAAAGCUCCGAAAAUGGUGCAAAUCGAGUAGAUCUAUGAGCACUCAAAAAUCUUGAAAAUGGACGGUCUAGAUAAUGUGUUACAAUAUGCACUAUUUUUAGAGUUUGAAAUUCGUUUUUUUCUUUCAUAUCCAUAUAUGUCGAGGUCAAGAUGAUCAAUGGGAGAAUUUUCUAGUGACAAAACAACCUUUUUCAAUGGGAUUUUUAGGUGCACCUUACUUCUACAUUAUAAGCCUUCUUAUAUUAUGAUAGAACCUUAAUGUAAGGUUGUAGUGUUUAUAGUUCAAAUUACGUUUACUCGUAUUAAUUAUUUACUUGUAUUUGCAGGGUUUACACUCAGGCAUUGGCGGUAUCGGAAAAAUAGAGUCCAAAUGCGAAAAGGGAUGCGCGAUACAUAUGCAGUGAUUGGUAUAACAUCGAGGUAUGUGUGUAGUCUGCAAGUGCCGUUUAACUUUUAUCCAGGUAGUCAUACUUAUGUGCGAAGAAUGUAUUAUUAGUGGGGAUGACAACUUCAGUUGAGAAGUUAGUUGGGGUGGGUUGCCGCAAGAGACUUCUAACUACAAAUGGCCUAACACAAUUUAAGAAGAUGUACCAAAUACAUGUCAUUGUCAUGAAACUAUGAAACUUCAAUUAGGAUUGAAAGAAAUUGGAUGGGAUUGUCUUGAAACUUAGAUUAGGAUUGAAAGAAAUUGGAUGUAAUUGUCAUGAAACUGCGAUUAGGAUUGAAAGAAAUUGAAUGUAUUAUAGAAAUUGAAUUUAUUAUGCGUGUGGAUGAUACUUGGGUUAGGUUGACUCAAGUCACUUCAAACAAUGGGUUGCCUCAAGACACUUCAAACAAAAUACCGUCGGCUGUUAUACCAGCAAUUUUGGGAUACUCACGAUUGUGAUGGAAGCAAUUUUGGAUUCCGAAAAUUGAAGUGAUUUUGGAUUCUGCCCUUAUAUAAUCGAUUUUGGGAUACUCAAUAGGGACUUAACACAAUGAUUUUGGGAUACUCAAGAUUGAUAGGGACUCAACACAAUGGAAGGAUCUACCGAAAUAGAUGUGAUGCAAUGUAAUAAGAAUCUAAAUAUGAUGCAAUGUAAUAAGAAUUUGCCAUAUAAAACUGUUGGUUGAAUCUAACACAUAAAACUGUUAGUUUUUUCUAUUGGGUUUGCUUUUCGUGUUUUUCAAAUAUGUAAAUAUAAAAAUUGAUUGAAAAGAUCCAUCUCACUCCAGUAAGAGUCGACUGGAGAGGGAAUUUGUUGAGAUUGUUGAUGUUGUUGUGUUCUUGGGCCGUUCAUCUUCCAUUUUGCUAGUUGAUAACUAAAUGAAUUUGUUUUGAUUGUUGA